Long non-coding RNA from Chinchilla lanigera (long-tailed chinchilla), 1694 nucleotides. RefSeq lists it as uncharacterized. The transcript has 2 exons. The record is from RefSeq and is a predicted model, not a curated record. NCBI's taxonomy places the organism in Eukaryota, Metazoa, Chordata, Mammalia, Rodentia, Chinchillidae.
GUCACCGGCAGGCUCUCCGCUGCCAGGGAGCCACCACACGAGGUUGCAGAGCGCCUGCUCGCGCCGUGGGGCCUCGCUCGGAAGGGAGGCCACUGGGAGUCACAGCGCCCGGGCCGCGCGUGUUCCAGGUCACCACGCUCGGGAUCCGGUCCUCAAGGGCUGUGUCGCCGCCGCCUGCCCCCUCCGCUGGAGGGCCGUGAACACGGGGACCCCAAGUGCUUGUGGAGCAUUUGUCACAGGAGCCAAAGACGUUCACUAAAAAGGUCUGGUCACACAUCUUCCCCUGCGACGAAGCUGGAAGGAAGGAAGAGGAGGGGUGUGAGCAGGGCUGAUGGGCUUGUCGUCCGCCUUGCUUCCGCCCCGGUGGGCGCCCAGACCUCUGCUGAGGGAGGGAGCCGCUGCCGCUCACUGUGGCCUUCCUUUAUCAUCACACCACGGCCCAGAAGCUCAGGGCGUAAGCACCUGGUGGCCCUCAGCUGGCUGCUUUGGCAGCUGGUGACCCUCCCGACAGCACCCCAGUCAGCUCCAGGCGUUCCUGAUGGAACUCACCGGGUAAUAGAUGCCAUGAUGUAAAGCUUUUAAAAACACUCCUCCCAGUACAAAAGGCCAAUAAGUAUGCAAUUAAAAGCUCAGCACAGCUGGCUGUUUGAGAAAUGAAAAUUACAAACACUGAGCUUUCAUCUUCCUUAGAAAAAUGGCUAUCAUCAAGAAAUCAUAUAAAAACAAUUGCUAUUGAGGCAUUUUGUGUGUGUGUGUGUGUGUGUGUGUGUGUGUGUAAGGAACUCUUCUACAUCCUUGGUGGGGAUAUAAACUAGUACAACUGAGACAGGAGGUAGGGUGUGGCAAAGCUGGCUGGGGAAAUAUGUGGGACCUGUCCAUGACAAGAUCCCAGGACAGCGCCAAAUAAUUCUCGGGACCCUGCAUGUGGGACUUCUCGCGAGCUCCCGCGAGAUGUGGACGGUGUAAGAGGAGCUGCCGCAGGAGCCUGCUGUCAGGGCUGCUCACAGUAUCAUGGCUGCACAGAGCGUACCUUACAUUUUGCUUUUCUCCUUCCUCUUUUGUUCAGCCCAAAUUGCCCCACAGAGCUGGUUCUUUCCUUACCACGUCACCCCUCACCUUUCAAAUACACUUUUGGCACUGUUUUUGGCUUGUUUUGUCCAAUUCUUUGUUCGAGGAAAGAAGUACCUGGAAUACUUUUAAUUGGCAAGCCACUUCUAAAGCAACCGCCCGACAACAUUUUGGCAUAAUCAGCCAGGAGAUAACACAACCACUCUGCAAAUCAGUGUGGAGAUUCCUCCAAAAGCCAAAUCUGGAAAUCCCAUUUGACUCAGCUAUUCCCCUUCAUGUAUGUUUUUGAAAGAGUAAAGACAUCAUAUUACAGUGACAUAUGCAUCCCCAUGUUUAAGGCAACUCAAUUCAUAAUAGUUAAAUCUCAGAAGCAGCAAACAGAUGAAUGGGUGAAGAAAAUGUGGUAUUUACAGACAGAGGAAUGCUGCUCUGCCAUGGGCUAAGCGCGAGUCAUUUGUGGAAAAUGGAUCCACCUGGAGAUCACCAUGUUAAGUGAAUCAGGUGCACAUGCUUAAGUGCUGCGUGGUUUCUCUCACAUGGCAAACCAAACACACGCUGGAGUCAUCUGUAGGAAGAUGGAUGCACUCUGAGACCCCAAUGUGAGCUGAAAUAAAUGGGAUGCACAA